AGCAGCUCAAGGCACAUCAAUUUCAAGAUGACUUAAAGGCCCAGACAGGACCACUGCAGAAAAGGUUUUCCUCUGGGUUCAGCACAGGCAUCUUUGCAGUCACCCCAGAAGACAGCAGUGGAUCCCAAAAGUUCCUUGUCUCUACCUGCUGUCCCAAUGAGCAGCCACAGAACAGCCAGGGUGCUAUCACAUUAAAAUGGCUUUCUGGAGGGCGAAGAAAAAAAUGCAGAGGGUGGGAAAGCGGGUGGGAAGCAAGUAUUAAUUGCUGUCCGGAUCGUUAGGAAAAUGGCACAGAGCGCUGAGCAGCAGUUGGGGGCUGGUUUUGAGUGGUGCCACUGGGUCCGGUAGGUUAUAAAGGUAGUGCCAUUCCCAGACUUCCCCUAGCAGGGAGCGAGGGCUGUGGGCAGCAGCCUCCUGGGGGGGGGGGCUGUCCUCCCUUACAGGAUGAUGUCUUGAUGUGCUGCUGCUUGUGAGAGAGGCUGAAGAGCUGCUCAGGGCCCUCCACCAGCAAGGUGCGUUCCCUGGGGCAGGGGAGGGAUGGCUAAUGGUGCAGCAUCCUCUUGGGAAGCCUUUUGCACUCCUCUGGACCCAUCCUGACACACAGGACCAGGGUGGGGGGGCCACUGUGGAGUGCCCUGACAGCCCCCAGAGCUGAGGGGCUGGGUGGGUGGCCUCUGUGACGAACUGUCGUGGUUUGUCACCAACCUUUACGGGGGAAAAACGGAGGUCCCUGGGCCCUACGCACCAGCCAGCCCUGCCUUUGGAUGGUGGAGAGCUGCAUCUUCUGGGCGUCUGCUGCUGAGCAGAGGAGGGCAAGGGGAGGAAAAGAUGACUUUGGCCUGGAGGAGGGCCCCUGGGGGUCUUCUGAUCCCUUCCAGGCCACCUUCAGCUUUGUACCGGGUUGCUCAGGGUUGAGCAUCUCCAAGGGACGUCACAGUUCCAUCGGUCCUGCCUGCCUGGCUGGUGGCUUUUCCCCCACACGAGGACACAGGAACUGGCUGUGGGCAAGGGCAGAGUGCUGAGUGUGCUACCCCUCUCUCCUACCCUCCUCCUUUUGGCUGGGGAUGCCUGGGCUGGGCAAAAAGACAUAUUAGAUGAAAAAUUGUCUGCCCUAGGCCCGGAGGCUGAGGACUGCUGAGCCUCAGGAUCCCUCUGACGUUGGCAGCUGAGG
Haliaeetus leucocephalus (bald eagle) is the source of this 1171-nucleotide long non-coding RNA. RefSeq lists it as uncharacterized. Lineage: Eukaryota; Metazoa; Chordata; Aves; Accipitriformes; Accipitridae. The record is from RefSeq and is a predicted model, not a curated record. The transcript is spliced from 3 exons.